Molecule: ribosomal RNA, 253 nt
Filed under: uncultured bacterium
Lineage: Bacteria
Description: partial 16S ribosomal RNA
Rfam family: Bacterial small subunit ribosomal RNA
Source: RNAcentral
UACGAAGGGGGCUAGCGUCGCUCGGAAUCACUGGGCGUAAAUGGUGCGUAGGCGGGUCUUUAAGUCAGGGGUGAAAUCCUGGAGCUCAACUCCAGAACUGCCUUUGAUACUGAAGAUCUUGAGUUCGGGAGAGGUGAGUGGAACUGCGAGUGUAGAGGUGAAAUUCGUAGAUAUUCGCAAGAACACCAGUGGCGAAGGCGGCUCACUGGCCCGAUACUGACGCUGAGGCACGAAAGCGUGGGGAGCAAACAGG